RNAcentral lists this long non-coding RNA (7772 nucleotides) under Populus tremula. Its description in RNAcentral is "long non-coding RNA (PTRE_LNC000855)". The record is from RNAcentral. Lineage: Eukaryota; Viridiplantae; Streptophyta; Magnoliopsida; Malpighiales; Salicaceae.
AAAAAAGAGAGCUCCUCUCCUUAAAACAACUUGCAAUGGCCACUAAACUCUCCCAUCUUUACGCAUCCAUCCUCCUCCUUGUUUUUAUUCACCCUUUCACAGCUCAAUCCAGGACCUUGAAGUCCAAUACUUUUGAGUUCCUUCAAAACCUGGAGGGAUGCCAGAAGGGGCAAAAUGUUAAAGGGCUCAAGGAGCUCAAACACCACCUCAAAAAUAUUGGAUACUAUCCAAAAGAUCAUCAGAAUGAUAUCAAGCUUAGCGAUGAUUUUGAUGAGAUCUUCGAAUCUGCUCUCAAAACCUACCAGAAGAAUUACCGUCUCAAGGUUACCGGGACUCUUGAUUCCGAUACUAUAAAGGAACUCAUGAUUCCUCGAUGUGGAGUUCCUGAUCCCAUCAACCACAAUGCAUCAAAACAAGCAGGCAGAACUGAACACGACAGCAAGUCGAGCAAGUUCCACACGGUUUCUCACUACAGCUUCUUUGGUGGAUCGCCGAGGUGGCCAUCUUCCAAAUUUCAUCUCACUUGUCGCACCCCAAAAACAACAAAUAAUUUCCAUUGCGGGUUCGACUGGCGAAAAUUUUUUUUUGAUUAUUUGAUUUGGUUCUUUGGAGUCGCCACCUAGUAUUUUGGUUACUAGGAACCCUAACUGGUCUCAGAGAUCGGGUACGGAGACUGGUUGCGUAAAGGGAAGGUAUUAGCACCCCAAAUACGCCUUACCUAAGGUAAGCUGCAUUGUUUUAUUGUCUGAUAAAAAUAAAAAAAAAGACUAAGGUGUUAUUGUGUUUUCCUAGUUGUUGGUCUGUCUAUGGUUCAAGAAAAAUCCUCCUCGGUAAGGAGAUCUUUAUCUUAUCGGGUAAAAAUCCUAACCGUUCUAACGUCCAUACCAAAAUUUUAUUAAUAAUAUUUAGGAAUACGUUUUACGUAUAAAUUCGUAAUCUCAAAUAUUAAAAGAAAACAAAAAGAUUUUUUAGAAUUUUUGAAAUAUUGGCCUAGUUCUCAUGGCUUGAAUAAACUGGUUAUUAAAGCCAAAAUGCAUGUUAAUACAUAUAUUGUUUUGAAAAUUUUCUUUGUUGUGUGAAAAUAUGAUGUUAUAAUAUUUAUGUAUAUAUAUUGGAGAGACUAGGCCGUAUUUUAAAACAAAAAAAACAAUUUUAUAAAAUAUUAUUUUAUGCUUUGACGAAAAUCGGGUAUUUAAUACUGAGCUUGUAUCCUUACGGUAUAAAAAAUACAACCCAAUAUUAAUCCGCUUUUAAAAAAUAUGCAGAAAAAUCAACAAUAUUUUAGGGAAUUUUUAGAAAUUUUUUUGAAAGCAAAAACAUUUUUUAUUCUGAAAAUCUUUGAUGUUUUGACGAAAACCAGGUAUUUAUAACACUGGUUUUGUAUUUUUACGGUAUAAAAAUACAAACCAGAAUUAAAACAUUUUUGACAAAAAUAUGAGAAAAAUCAACAAUAUUUUUUUAAGAUUUUUCAAAAUAUUUUUUUUUUAUUAUUAUAUUUUAUAUAUAUAUACACACAUAUAAUAUAAUAUAUAAUAUAUAAUAUAUAAUAUAAAUAAAAUAAAAAUUCGGGCUGGGCCGGCCCAAAUAAACGGGCCAGGCUCAGCCCAAAAAAAUAAAAAACGGGCCGACCUCGGCCCAAAAUUAAAUUGGGCCGAUGUCGGCCCAAAACUUCUACCGUCUGGGCCAGGACCGGCCCAGACUUGCAAGGCUGGGCCAGCAUCGGGCUGGCCCAGCACCUUUGGCCCAGCGGGGGGAAGAAUUAAUUUUCUUCCCCCCCGCCUCCUGCAUGCAUAACUCUGCAUGCAGGAGGCAACGCCUGCAAACGAAGGAGAAGAAGAAAAUUUACCUGGCGUGGAGGAGGCGGUCGCUGGCGGUGCAGCGGUGGCGUGGCUCGUGGGCGGCGGCUCCGUGCGGUGCUGUGGCGGUUCCUAGCGUUCGGUUCGGUUCACUCUCUCUCUCUCCUCCCUUCUCGGGUCUCUCUCUCUCUAUUCCUCUCGGGUCCUUUUUUUCUUUUCGGUUUUCUUCCCUAUUUAUAGGGGCAGAACCGUGGGGGACCAUGGGUGUAACGGCUGGUCGGCCAAUAUCUAAAGGUGGUGGGGCGAGGAGAGAGAGAGGCGCGGGAUGGGUUUUGAAAACGGUUUUCUUCUUCUGUUGCAGGUUCGGGGGAAGGAGAAGAUGAACAGUGUCGUUCAAAACGACACCGUUCUUUUCCUUUUUUUUUUUUUUUUUAUAUAUAUGAAACGGCGUCGUUUUGGAUAAAACGCGCCGUUUCAUUUAAAUGGCCAAACUUCAAAUCAGUCCCCCAAAUUCGGUCCCCGCCCCUCUUGUUGGCCGCCUUUUUCACUUUGGUCCUUGGCCUCUGAUUUAUGCAAUUGAGCCCCUAAUUGAUCAAUAAACUUUCAAUUUCUUCAAUUAAGCCCCUGAACCGAAAAAUUGCAGCCCCUCCAUUUACACGCCUCUUCCAAUUUGGUCCCUGGUUUCGGAUUUUCUUAAUUAAAUCCCUAAUUGGCCCUUAAACUUCAAUAUUUAUGCAAUUAAGCCCCUGAUUUGACCCAAUAAAUUCCUAAAGAAUAUAUUUUGGCCCCAGAACUUAAAUUUCUUCAAAUUAAAGCCCAAAUUGACUUAAAAAUUAAUUUUUCUUGCAAUCAAAUCCUUCAUAAAUUCAAAUAAAAAUCCAAUUAAGUCCCUAAAAAUCCAAUUAAGUCCAUAAAAAUCCAAUUAAGUCCAUAAACAUCCAAAUUUGGGCUUUUCUCCUCAAAAUUCAAAUUUUCCUUCUCAAUAGGGCUUUCAUCCUUCAAGAAUAUACUGUCAAAAAUUUAAUCCUUGUAUUUUUGAAUUUCUUUACCAAUUUUCUGACUGUUUCCUGAGCGCUUCUGCCUUCUGUUAUUUUUUCUAAACUCUUUUGGCUAUUUAUUUUAUUUUUUCAUGGGGACCCAAAAAUGGGUUACAACAUCACUUACACUUUCAGCUCCAGUGUCCAAGUUGUUGACAUGCAGGAACUGAGGUCUGCAUGCUCACGAGCAUUCCAAAAGUGGGCAGACGUAACCCAGUUUACAUUCCAGGAAGCUUCUGAAGGUUCCCAGGCAGAUAUUGUAAUCGGAUUUCAAAGUGGCGAUCAUGGUGACGGGGUCCCUUUCGACGGUCCGGGACGCAUACUAGCCCACGCCUUCUCACCAACAGACGGGAGGCUGCAUUAUGAUGCGGACGAGAAAUGGAGCACGAACCCUAGCGCAGAUGAAGUGGACCUGGAAUCAGUAGCUGUGCAUGAAAUCGGGCAUCUUCUCGGACUGGAUCACAGCAUGGAUCAAAAUUCCAUUAUGUUCGCGGAAAUUCCACAAGGAACUAUCAAAAGGGAGCUCGGUCAGGAUGAUAUUGCUGGCAUACGUGCUUUGUACUCCAAUUAAUCACAGAGCCCCCGUAAUUUCCUUUUAAACAAGUUAUUACAACGCUUCUAAAUCUGGGUUACAGGGAUAAUAAUUAAUUACGGUUGAAAUAUCUACAAUAUGUAGCUCUUCAUAUGUAAAAACUAGACGCAAGGCUGCAAUUUUAUUGUUUUGUCUAUGUGUCACUUUAUCAAACUUAAUAUCCGUAUCGUUCCUUUAAAUGUCUAAUGAAAAGUGUGCAUUGAUAAGGAAUAGUACUAUUUAAAGGACAAACGAGGACUAUUUCUUUUGAUAAAUUACACUUGAGGGCAAUAAUGAAAAAAACAUUCUUAUUAUAACGCAAAAGUAGUAAGUAAUUACCUAAAAGAGAUUAUGAUUAUUUAUGUUUCUAUAAACUCUUGAGUUUAUAACAUGAUUCACACUAUGAGGUGAAUGAUUGUGAAGAUUAAAAGUAGUUUAAUAGGAUUUAUUUUUAAUUUUUAAUGGAAUCAUAGAACAUAUAUAUUGACUUGUUUACUCAUAAAUUUAAUCUAUUUAGAUCUUUCAUUAUACUUUAUUUUUUUUAGUCAAUGAUAUUAAUUAUUUACAACUUGUAUUUAGGAAUAUGUAUACAAUUACAAUUCAUGUUAUUAUUUAUGAUCAUAUCUGGUCCUUACAUAAAAAUAUAAAUAUUUAACUCUUGAUUAAUGAGUCAAAUUAGCUAUGGUUAUUUGAAACUCUAACAUAUAAUGUCUUUUUAGGUUUGUACGAAUUUGUAGGUUUUAAAAAUUUGUUGUGAGGAGUUUAAUUUUUGUUUUGGCACUUCCAGAAACAAGGGAAUUAAGGCAAUAUAUAUAAAUGGUGAUUUAAUUAAUGGCAUAUGUAAUAUGAUCGAUGUCCUGAUUGUUAGUGCUUUCAAUGUAUAUAUUGGCAUGCAAUUGUAGCGUUUGAAAGAGAAACAAGAAAUUAUGAGUGGAUAUACUGCAUAAGGGUUUUAUCUGGGUUGUAGCUCGUAAUCCAAUAAUCAUUGUAGUGAUUAAAAUAUUCAGAAAGGAGGUUCCUUUAAAAGUCAAUUCUUCACUUAUUUUUAUUGAAACAUCUAAAAAAUAUCUAUAAAAUACUUAACAAUUUUAAAAUAUCUUGAAAUCAUUUAAAAAACUAUUCAAAUAAAAAGACAUCUACAUGGAACAUAAUCUAUAUUUUCAAGUAUUUUUAUAUGAAAAACCAUCAUCAUCAAAUUUUUUAUUUAAAUAAAACUCGUUUACACUAAAAAUGGUAAUCUCGUCAUUAAAAAGUGAUCAUUCACCAAUGUUUUUUCCCUUCAUUAUUUUAAAGUCACUUUCUAUUUUCUCUCUCAAACUUUAAUAAAACAUACUUUCAUAUCAAAAUUAAAGUCUCAAAAACUAAAGGUAAUAUAGAGUGAGAAAAAAAAAGCAAAUGGACUACCAAGACUUUUCCAGCAAAUUUUAGAUUUGUAAGGAGAUUUAUCUUUAAUUUUUAUAUUUCAAUACAAUAUUUCAUUAAAUUUCAUCUUGUCAAUAUUGGCACAACUUAGCAUCCCACCAUGAAUUUGUGUGAGGAGUGAUAAGGAUGAACACAACUACUGCAGUGACAAAUGUUGAAAGUUAAGCUGGUUACUUGUUUUUAAAACUUCAGAAGUAAAUCCUGAAGUUAUAACGAGAAGAGUUAAGAAUGAAGUAAUGGAAAAAAUUUAUGUUAAAAUCAGUUACAGCAGUUAAAAAGCCAUUAUAGCAGUUAUUUCUGUUAAUUUAUGUUACAAACGUUUCUUACAUGUAUAAGAAUCGUAGCCCUCAAUUGAUGAAUGGUUGAGAUGAAUUGAUUUAGGAUUCUGUUAUUAUUUACAUGUAAUGUGUAUAAAAGCAGGAUUCCUGCAUUAGAAAUACACAAGAAAAUAAUACAACAAAAUAAUACAAGAACUUCUUAUCAUCUUCUCUGAAAAACCUCCUCCACAAACUCUUCUUGAGAAACUUGAAAUUCGACAACAAGAAGGCUGUAAACUCUCACAAUUCAUGCUACAGUAGUGGAGAAACGACGAAGGUGCAUCAAUGGCAACAACUUCAACCCGAAAUGAUACCUGGUUCAAUCAGCGAAGAAAAUCUCAACCAAUUGAUUGAGCAAAUCGUCAAGACAAGCUAUAAAGUUGUAAAACUCUAACUUUAUAUGUAAAAGUUUUUCUUCUCCGAGUCAACUCGAACCAAAUUACACUCGUCGGUCGGUCUUUAUAGAGCUGAACUUUAUGAAAACAGUUUGGCUAAGAAGACUUGAUCCGACUUUUCAUAAGGGGUGAGGACUUUUACUGCACUUUUUACAUUCUUGCUUCCGGUAAACUAUCUCCGGCCCUCGGACUCCAUGCUCCAGCAAUAACAACCAAUAUUAAUGUAAUGCCAGAUUUUAAAGGGUUGAACUCAUGAUAUUGAAAAGAUUUGUUUUCUUUCUUAAUUUUUAAAUUUGAACUUUAAAUUUAAUAUCUAAAAGAAUUUAUUACAUAUUUUUUAAAAAAACACACCAGACUGAUAUGAGCUGUUUUUGAAAAACUAUAUAGAAAAAAACCUAGUUUCGACGUCUGACGAGCAUGUUCAUGCACCAGUUCCUUCAUUGCUAAAACAAAUUAAAGUCAGUUCAAUCCGAGGUUGAAUUCAAUGCUCUCAAGCAUGGGCUGUGGAGACGACUUUCCAAGUCAAAAUCCAUCUUUCAGAGUCAUUUUGUGAUUCAUGUAGCUCGUCAAGCUCAUUUCUGUGCGUGUUUCUCAUUGCCUGUUGUAUCAAUUUUAGUGACCAUGCAUAUGACACACCACCUAGGAUAAUUAAUUAUAGAUUUUAUGUCAGAUUUUAUUUUCCCUAAUUAGAUAUUAAGUGAGCUAAUUUAUAUUAUGGUAAGCAUCGGAUGAUCAUGGGAUCAUUCCUUACAAUUUUAAUAAAAUUAUAUUACAUUCACUUUUCAUAUAGGUAAGGCUUCACUCAUAUUUUCCUCGCUGUAAACACAAUAAAUAAAGCUAAAGUAUUAUUUUAAUACAAUUUUAAGUAUAAAAUAAUUUUAAAAAUAAUUAUUUAUAUAAUUUCAAACAUUGUAUUAAAUAUCAACAAAACACUUUCUAAUAAAGCUAAAAUAUAUGAACUUUAGUGCUAGUAAUAAACUUGAAAGUUUUGGACUCGAGAAUUGAGCAGAGAAAGCACAAAACUUUAAAGAAAAAACUAGAUAUUAAUUUAUAGGAUCUUGAACUACACGAAAAAACAAGAAGAUAGUCGUCUAUCAUUAUACAAUUAUGAUUGAAAAUUAUAUCUAUUAAAAAAAUUAUUGAACAACAGACUCAUUGAAUCUGCCUGUUUAUCUUAUUAGUUGAUCGAAUAACAGACUCAUUGAACAAAAAACUGGAGAAAUUGACUUCUUUACACUUGUAUUUGUUACAGAACAAAUGCAUGCAAUGAUAAUUUUUUUUGGGCACUUAAUUUUCGAUUAGGAUUAAUUCAAGUUCUGAAAAUUGCAUGUAAAAGUGUUGAAUACAUAAAUUAUCCAUUAAAGUGCAGAAAAUAUUUAAGAAGAGUCCAGGAUAGUCCACUGACUUUAAAUUAUAUGAUGCCAUUGUUGAGAAAGGGACCUGCAACCUUUUCACAUCAUCAAGUGUUGAAAACUUAAUCCUCCGGCCGCUUGGCCGUGAUGGAAGGGGCAUGGAAAAUGCCAGUCGGCGAUCACUCUGCAUUAGGGAACUGCACUGUUUUCUGUCAACGAGUUCACAUUAGAAACAUUUAUCCAAUUAUUGAUUGGCCAUAGAAAAGUUCAUAUGGUAUUUAUUACAUAAACCAGAUUCAUUUGAACAGAAAUUGUUUGAUUGGUUUGUCAUGUGCAGCAGACAAGGUAGUGUUGUCGACUGCUGUAAAAUACCUCGUAAUGUGAAACACGCCAGGCUCUGUUCUUUACAUGCCAAAAUCAAUGUAUAAAUAGCCAUGCAGAGAUGACACAAAAUCAAGCAAAAAAAGAGAGCCCCUCUCCUUAAAACAACUUUCAAUGGCCACUAAACUCUCCCAUCUUUACGCAUCCAUCCUCCUCCUUGUUCUUAUUCACCCUUUCACAGCUCAAUCCAGGACCUUGAAGUCCAAUACUUUUGAGUUCCUUCAAAACCUGGAGGGAUGCCAGAAGGGGCAAAAUGUUGAAGGGCUCAAGGAGCUCAAACACCACCUCAAAAAUAUUGGAUACUAUCCAAAAGAUCAACAGCAUGAUAUCAAGCUUAGCGAUGAUUUUGAUGAGAUCUUCGAAUCUGCGCUCAAAACUUACCAGAAGAAUUACCGUCUCAAGGUUACCGGGACUCUUGAUUCCGAUACUAUAAAGGAACUUAUGAUUCCUCGAUGUGGAGUUCCUGAUCCCAUCAACCACAAUGCAUCAAAACAAGCAGGC